UGAAACUGAUCUCCCCGUGAAGAAGCGGGGAUAAGUAUAUUANACGAGAAGACCCCAUGGAGCUUUAAACCCGACAGCACCCACUUAUUUAACACCUUCUUAUCCGCCUGGCCCCUGUCUGCUCGGUUUUGGGUUGGGGUGACCGCGGAGCAUAAAAUAGCCUCCACGAAAGAAGGGAUGAUUCCCUCAUUUUAGAACUACACUUCCAAAGACUAACAAAUUAAUUUUAAGUGAUCCGAUACCCGUAUUCGAUCAACGAACCAAGUUACCCUGGGGAUAACAGCGCAAUCUACCUCAAGAGCCCCUAUCGACAGGUGGGUUUACGACCUCGAUGUUGGAUCAGGGUAUCCCAGUGGUGCAGCAGCUACCAAAGGUUCGUUUGUUCAACGAUUAAAACCCU
RNAcentral lists this ribosomal RNA (400 nucleotides) under Boophis reticulatus. RNAcentral describes it as "partial 16S ribosomal RNA". It matches the Rfam family "Bacterial large subunit ribosomal RNA", at positions 2037 to 2597 of the family's 2925-position model. The record is from RNAcentral. Lineage: Eukaryota; Metazoa; Chordata; Amphibia; Anura; Mantellidae.